Molecule: ribosomal RNA, 222 nt
Filed under: uncultured bacterium
Lineage: Bacteria
Description: partial 16S ribosomal RNA
Rfam family: Bacterial small subunit ribosomal RNA
Source: RNAcentral
UACGUAGGGUGCAAGCGUUGUCCGGAAUUAUUGGGCGUAAAAGAGCUCGUAGGCGGUCUGUCGCGUCGGCUGUGAAAUCCCGAGGCUCAACCUCGGGUCUGCAGUCGAUACGGGGCAAAACUAGAGUAUUGCAGGGGGAGACUGGAAAUUCCUGGUGUAGCGGUGAAAAUGCGCAGAUAUCAGGAGGAACACCGGUGGCGAAAGGCGGCCCUUCUGGGACAG